UUUUUUCAGGACCAAGUGGAAGCGGCAGACCGCGGUGGGCCUGGAGCUGCUGGCUGAGGCAGGGAAUUACUCGGCACUGCAGAGGAUGUUUCCAUCGCCUUAUUUCUACCACCCAAGCCUGCUGGGCAGCAUGGACAGCACGACCGCGGCGGCGGCCGCUGCCGCCAUGUACAGCAGCAUGUACCGGACUCCUCCCGCGCCCCAUCCCCAGCUGCAGCGGCCCCUGGUGCCCCGAGUGCUCAUCCACGGCCUGGGGCCCGGGGGACAGCCGGCCCUCAACCCCUUGUCCAACCCCAUCCCAGGUACCCCGCACCCCCGGUGAAGAGCGAGCCUGCAGACCCUCCCUGUCCCCUCCCUGACCAGGACAGCUGCCCCUCCUCUCCCCCAACCAGGCAGUCUGCCCUCCCUUGCAGUCUACCAGGAAGUAAAGAAGUGAGAGAGGAAGAUGCUCAGCAGUGGGCGGGGGUCCCCCCGAAAGUGCCAGCCCUCCGCACUUCAUCUCCCCACCCCCAGAGACAGGGCUGGAAAGCUCCCCCACAGCAGUGUGACUGGCGAAAAUGCUGACCCCACACAGAGUGCGACCAGGCUCCUCUCAGCGGUGAGGGUCCGGAACGCUGGGCAGCAGAGACGCCGGCAGGAGCUGGGCGGUGGGCGGGCAGACGUGCGGGCCGCGCAGCUGUUCUUCAGCCCGAGGCCGGCGCCCGCGUGGUGGGACAGCCUGCAAGCAGGAGGCUGUAGGGCGCGCAAUUAGGGUGCCCCAGGGACUCGGAGAGGCCUGGCUAACAAACCCUGGUUGUGCUUUGAUCCCUGCCUUCUUGUUCCCCGGCGGGCAUCCAACCCCUAGCCCCGCACCGAGCCUCUUGCCCUGGUGAGUUGGCUGUGAUGGGAUGCCUAGAGCGGAAUGCAACUCUGGCCCAGACAGGUGUGCUGAGCUUUUUAUGCGCGUCCCUGGAUCGUUGGGGACCACUAAAUAAGAGGCCAGAGGAUAGUGUAGGUCAGCUGCUUGUUUUGGGAGUGUGUAUCAGUGUGUGAGAACCGGUGUGUAAUACUCUUAGCACCUUGGCCAGAGCCUCACCUCAUCCAGAGCCUGACCUCAGCCCUAGACCUCCCUCCCUUACUAGCUCCCAAGAGGCUGAGCACUCCCGACUAGGGGAGGCAGAACUGAAAGGGGAUGGUUGUACUCUUCUGGGGCUACUCCCACCUUCUCCAGGCUGGAGGUCACUUCUCCCAUUGUCAGAGAGUUGAAUCCCCAUCUGGGCAUCUUCACAUCUCUGUCUUCACUCUGGCCCUAGUAUGUAGUCAAAGGAGUAAGACUUGCAGCUAAAACACAUCCAGACCCAUUUUCCAACUUUCUCUGAUGUUUGAAUCUUAGUAGAGUUAUAAAAACAUUUUUUUAAAAUGUGGAGUGCUGUGGGAGUGUGUGUUGGGGAGGAGUGGGAAAGAAGAAGGAAAGAGGUGAAAUCCAGGAAGAAAUUGCCUUGGGCACCUCGAUCAGACUUUGGCUAAUUAGGGAGUGAUUUAUCUCCAGCUCAUCAGUUUGCUUUAAAAAUGGUCGUGGUCUUGUUUGAUUCUAACAAAAGGGUCUGGACUGGCCCUUCUCAUUUUCUUCCCGCUGAGCCGGUACAAACUCAAACAGCUGGGCUAGGCUGGAAACUGGGCACCACUGUGUCUAGUGGGAAUGCCCAUUGCCUGGACAGUCAGCAGACUCUCCUUGUUCUAUCUUAGCUGCUGUUGGAUUUUACAAUCAUGUU
Long non-coding RNA from Bos grunniens (domestic yak), 1751 nucleotides. NCBI's taxonomy places the organism in Eukaryota, Metazoa, Chordata, Mammalia, Artiodactyla, Bovidae. The record is from Ensembl.